Molecule: unclassified non-coding RNA, 948 nt
Filed under: Hevea brasiliensis (rubber tree)
Lineage: Eukaryota; Viridiplantae; Streptophyta; Magnoliopsida; Malpighiales; Euphorbiaceae
Source: RNAcentral
UAAUUUUUUUUUUUUUAUCAAUCUAUAAUUAAAAUGUAAAUAUUUAUUUUUUUAAUUAAAAAAAAUCAUUCUAAAAAAAAAAAAUUAAAGCAUGAGGCCAAGAUCUUGAUUACUGCAAAAGAGCCCCAACUAUUUUGGAGUACAGACAGCAAUCACUUUGGUUUCAAGUUAGCAAUCCGAAGACAUCAAUAAUCACCUAUGGCUCCACUUCCACGGAAACACAGCUGUGUGAUAAAACCAGCAACUGGUUAUGAAUCUUGCCAAGAACAAGUAAAAGGAGACUGAUUGUUAAGGUACUUACCCUGAAAUUUUCCCAACCAGAGACGGAGGAGCGAUGAAACCAUCCACCGGAGAGACUAAAGCCUCAUAUCAUUGGAAAAGAUAACGGCAGAAAUGUAGUAUAAGUUGCCAGAAACUGAGAUGGACAUAGAGAUCUAGAUUUUCAUGAACAGACAAUCCGGAUGAGACGGCAGAUUACAUCAGUGAGUGGUGGUGUUUUGAUAACAAAGAUACAAUCAUGGAGAUGUUAUCUCCUUAUCUUAAUCAGGAUUUGAUCACUCAUCAACUGCAUAUCCAAUCUAAUUAACCUUUUCACCUUGACGAUCUUCAAUGAAUCCAAUCAUCAUAGACAGCAGCUCUACUCAAUUACCUUUGCAAUCGAAAGUGGAAGCUCUUCCAAUUCCUAUCCAAAGUGGUUGUGAAAAAGCUUCCACUUUCGAACUGCAAAGGGUAUUGGGUGAAAGCUAAAUAUUAUCAUCCAUCCAUGAUCUAUCCUCUGUAACUGCGACUCUUAACUCUGCGCUGGAGUUUAUGUAGUAGUGGAAUUAUAUGUACUUCAGGGGAAAGGAGAAAUCUAGAGAGUUGAAAAAGUCACUAGCUUUAUCAUUAAGCGACAAAAUAGGAAAACUUAUUGAAAUCCUCAAUUUGGACUUUACAACUUAGUGGAAU